RNAcentral lists this ribosomal RNA (303 nucleotides) under uncultured bacterium. Its description in RNAcentral is "partial 16S ribosomal RNA". It matches the Rfam family "Bacterial small subunit ribosomal RNA", at positions 507 to 808 of the family's 1533-position model. The record is from RNAcentral.
AGCAGCCGCCGCGGUAUACGAAGGGUGCAAGCGUUAAUCGGAAUUACUGGGCGUAAAGCGUGCGUAGGCGGUUUGUUAAGUCUGUUGUGAAAUCCCCGGGCUCAACCUGGGAAUGGCAGUGGAUACUGGCUCGCUAGAGUGUGUCAGAGGAUGGUGGAAUUCCCGGUGUAGCGGUGAAAUGCGUAGAGAUCGGGAGGAACAUCAGUGGCGAAGGCGGCCAUCUGGGACAACACUGACGCUGAGGCACGAAAGCGUGGGGAGCAAACAGGAUUAGAUACCCGAGUAGUCCCUGUCUCUUAUACA